UGAUUUUCUAUUUGUAGGGGGUUGACGUGGAGGAAUUAAAGGUAAUGAAGGAAGUAUACCUCAUAUAACAAUGGGUUGAUAAGAGGAUAUGACUCCAACUAGUUAAGUUGAGCUAUAAGAGGAUAGGGGCAUAAUUAAAUGAGUUAAUUUGGUGGUUUGAUAAGAGGAUAUGGACUCCAACUAGUUUAGGAUUAAGGUUUUGAUUAAAUUGAGCUAUAAGUGGAUAGGGAUAUAAU
RNAcentral lists this long non-coding RNA (236 nucleotides) under Phoenix dactylifera (date palm). RNAcentral describes it as "long non-coding RNA (PDAC_LNC004535)". The record is from RNAcentral. Lineage: Eukaryota; Viridiplantae; Streptophyta; Magnoliopsida; Arecales; Arecaceae.